AAAACGAAUUUUGAAAACGUUCCUAAUCUGUGCCUGGUAUGACUUCGAAAGGUCGAGAGCCAGUAUUUUUCUUCUUCGACAUCGAAGCCGCGAACAGUUCAGUUGGUGCUGACAUAAUUCAAUUUGGGUUACGUGCGAUCCAAGUGUCCAUUUGAUGGCAGAGUUUAGUGCAUUUGUGAAAACAAAGCAGAAAUUAUCAUCAUUCACCAUCAAACACCAGAUCCUUUUCCUCUUGUUUUCAAGAGGAUGAUGAAAUGGGUGACCAAUAGGACUUUGGCAGCAAGCAGGAAAAGUAGAAAAAAGGGAAAACAACAGAAAAUGUUUUACCCAGUUUUGCUUGCUCAUGGUGGCAAUCGGUCGGACUUUCCGAUGUUGGUGGACAACAUCUCUCGCCACAAAGCCUCAUCCGGCUAUUUGUACCCGAGACUUCGUGUGGGGGACACAUACCAACUUUGUGUAAAGCUUCAAGAAAACGGUUUGCCAAUAUUUGACAAACAAACGAAAUUAGGAAUGGAAGGUUUGCACAAAUUAUUCUUCCCUGGUGAAGACUUUAAAGAUCGUCACAGUGCUUUGGGAGAUGCCAGGUUGAUGAGGCAAAUUUUCGGGGGGCCGCUUCGCAACCACCUGGAAGAAAUCGAAACAAAGACGUUGUCUUCCUUUGUGGGUUUGCAAAAAAAGAAAAAGAAAAAAAAAGAAACCAAACCAUUGGCGAAGGUUGGCAUUGAAUUCGAGCAUUAACUCAGUAUUCGCUAUGCAAUUUGACGUAACCGCCUAUUUGGAAAGUUGAUUGAUGAAAAUUGACUUGAUUAUCAAUUACUGCAUCAUGGCAGAGUCGGUCGCAUGCAACUUUAUAAACACUCCCGUAUAUGAAGCAAUAGCUUCCUGGAUAGAAACGGCCUCUCUACCGAUUGUUUUGUUGGGAGCCAAAGGAGUGGGAAAGACAACCACGCUAAUCAUGUUACAUGAAUCAUGCAAAAGACCGAAACAUUAUUUUGACCUUUCAAGUGAUCACG
RNA transcript from Dendronephthya gigantea, 1013 nucleotides. RefSeq lists it as uncharacterized. The transcript has 11 exons. NCBI's taxonomy places the organism in Eukaryota, Metazoa, Cnidaria, Anthozoa, Malacalcyonacea, Nephtheidae. The record is from RefSeq and is a predicted model, not a curated record.